GCUACCCUGGAGAAACUGCCCAUGGGGCAGCCCUGCUUUGCAAGGAGCAGGACCUCUGCUGCUGCUGCACACUGCCGCUUCAAUAAAAUUUGCUGUCUAACACCACUGGCUCACCCUUGAAUUCUUUCCUGGGUGAACCCUCCCAAGCUAAGCCCCAAGUUUGGGGCUCUCCUGCCCUGCAUCAGAACCAGGUGGAGAGCUUGGCACAAGCAUAAGGGGUGGGCCGCAACGGCGAGGCCAGGUCAGCCUGAUGUGGUGCUUGGUGUACAGCACGUUCCACCAGUGGCAGGCUCAGGAGCACAUUCUUCCAUUGGGCCAAGGGGGCAGCCCACAGCUGGACGUGGUCAUUUACAAAGGAGGAUGGUUUUCAAAGGCCUUCAUCCAGGGCAAGCCUAACUGCCCCCCACAGAAAGGACUGGAGGUAUUCCUUAGUCAAAGGGACUCAAGGUUAAAAGAGGUUGAAACUGGCCAGCCAGGAAAGUCAAGAUCUACCUCAUUUGGCAGGAAUUCAGCCAGAGGUACCCAGAGGGGAUUCCUUACGAACUCAUAAAAGCCUCCUUAUCUCCCAGAAAAGGAGUGGGUUGUGGGGAUCCACCACACUCAGAGAGCGCUCGCAUAGAUGAGCCUGGGGCUGAGCCACCAGGAGCUGUGCUGUGCCUCAGCUCCCCUUCCUGGGGCCAAAGGGAUGAGUUAUCUAGGGUUGGGGGGAGUCAGGGGUCUGGGCAGGGAUCAAGCAGGAGAGCAAUAUGGGAACAGAGAACAGAACUGCAUUCAUCUAGAUUUCUGACGCUUUGACACCAGGGGUCUUGCUGACUGCCCCUUCCAGGGUUAGCCAAUUCCUAAAAAUAGUAAAUGAGGCUGGGUGCGGUGGCUCAUGCCUGUCAUCUGUCAUCACAGCACUGUGGGAGGCCAAGGGGUUUGAGACCAGCCUGGGCAACAUGAUGAAACCCCAUCUCUACAAAAAAUACAAAAAUUAGCUGGGCAUGGCGACACAAGCCUGUAUUCCCAGCUACCCGAGAAGCUGAGAUGGGAGGAUCACUUCAGCCCAGGAGGUCAAGGCUGCAGUGAGCCAUGAUCUCUCCACUGCACUCCCGCCUAGGUGACAGAGCCAGACUAUGUCUCAAAAACAAAUAAACAAACAAACAAACAAAAGAUAGCAAAUGACUCACCUGGGAACGUGCCUUUCAUGUGCAAACCAACCAAUCCAAAGCCCUCAGCCUAUCACCUCCUCUAUCAGACUUUCACACUCUGAGCCACUAGCCCGUUGCCCUAAUCGCGCCAGCUCCUGGGCCCAGAAAACUAGAGACAGCUCUCAUCACCCCAGAGCCUUCAGAAAUUGCUCAAACCAGUCAGCCCAAGCCUGCCCACCCUGCCUUGCCCAUUUCCACAGAAACUAGAACAAAGGUGCUUGCUCACAUUUUCCCUUCGCUCCCUCUGCCUUCAGACCAACCCUGGUACUUCCUGGCAUGGCCUGCCCUGUCUCCUGCUUUGGGGGAACUGUGAGUAAACAGUUCCUCUUGCCUGACAGUCAUUUCUGCAUCUGCACAUCUUAUCAUACCCGAGUAAAUCAAAAUCCUGGUACCCUACUAACAGGAAGCCACCCCAUUGUAGGCUUUCCAGAUGAAGCAGGCUCAGGAGAAUAAGAAACUUUUCUCCCAACUCCCAGACACCCCCUUUUUUUUGAGUCAGAGUCUUGCUCUGUCACCCAGGCUGGAGUGCAGUGGCACAAUCUUGGUGAAGCUUCC
RNAcentral lists this long non-coding RNA (1745 nucleotides) under Homo sapiens (human). RNAcentral's name for it is "HSALNT0345512". The record is from RNAcentral. Lineage: Eukaryota; Metazoa; Chordata; Mammalia; Primates; Hominidae.